Gymnodraco acuticeps is the source of this 2368-nucleotide RNA transcript. It is a transcript of the gene named myelin protein zero-like protein 2, with no coding region annotated. NCBI's taxonomy places the organism in Eukaryota, Metazoa, Chordata, Actinopteri, Perciformes, Bathydraconidae. The transcript has 6 exons. The record is from RefSeq and is a predicted model, not a curated record.
AGAGAGAGAGAGAGAGAGAUAAUAUGGUAGAGAGGAAAGUGAAUGACUUUGUUACUCCGCCCGAAAAUGUGGUGGGAGGGUCCUGAAAUGAGAUGUAUGAGCGCAGCGGCGAGUUGGGACGCGUCUUUGGAGAUAAUAGGUGGAGGAGAGGACACUGUGUAACUACACGUUGUUAUCCCUCUCUUAAGGAGAUCCACAGACUUAUCCACCGGGUUUCCAGGCAUUAAGUCGGCGGAGGAGUCUCAGUGGGUUUGUUGACUUGCGGUCUCGUUGUCAUCGGACAGCCUGCCGUCCAUCCAAUGUGCGUAAAAGGGCUCUGUUUGCUCACCGUCCUGUCUGGACUCGCAGCUUCAGGCAUGCUGCAGGUCAGCGGGAUGUAUGUAUACACAUCUGGGGAUGUGGAGGCAGUUAACGGGACGGAUGUCCGUUUAAAAUGCACAUUUCAGAGUAGCGCCUCCAUCAACCCCGAUUCCAUUGUCAUCUCCUGGAGCUUCAGACCCCUGAAACCAGGCAGAGAACAGUCGGUGUUCCACUACCAGCAGAAACCAUAUCCUCCGUUAGAAGGCAUUUUCAGGAAGCGUGUCAGCUGGGCCGGUGAUGUCAUGGGCCGAGACGCCUCCAUCAUUCUUCAACAGGUCAAGUUCACCUACAAUGGUACUUACAUCUGCCAGGUUAAGAAUCCGCCGGAUGUCCACGGCACGGUUGGAGAGAUUCGAUUUCGUGUCGUCACCACAGGUCCUUCUCGAAACCAAGUUGGAUUACAUUUGCUUUCCGAGUGUGAGACAUGCUCCUUCGGUGCUCACUGAAAACGUUUUUCAGUGUGGAAAAAGAGUUCUCACAUAAAGCUGUCGAAGCUCCAAAGGCGGUGCAAGACGAAACCACCUGAGACAGCUGGAAGGGAACGAGGGAGGCUCCUCGCAAAGAGAGAGAAAAGACCCCCACUGUGUGCCAUCCAGGUAGGGCCCUCCACCUCUACCUAUCAGAGACGUCCAUGGAGAUUGACAGUUCAGAUGGCAUGAUUUCAGAAGCCAGCACCAAAGACCCCAGCUCCUCAGAGAGUGAGGGCCCAAGCUCAGACGAAGAGGAAGAUGAUGACGACUCCGACUGAGGAUGUGGGGAAAAACAGUGCGACAGAAACACUUCAACUAUCCAGGAGGCUCGCUGGUUGGAUGCCCAGAUGGCACCCGUGGAUUACGUACCAUGGUUCUGCUGAUUGGAGAAUAGAUGGAGAGAGCGCUUCUGCUGAGUCAAAAAUGAGCCAGUUGUUCAAGAAUGGAAGGAAAACGGAAAGAAAGUUAUGUUUGAAAGUUUCUGAAUAAAAAUAAAGAAAUUAGAGCGAUAAAGAUCAAAGCUUUGAAAGAGGAUCAAAAGUAGAGUAGCUUCACUUUUAAGAGAGCCCAGAAAUCAUGAAGCUGGCUUGGCAACUGUCCUGAAGGGAAAACAGGCCAACGACUCCCUGUUGUUUCAGACAUGGCUGGUGCUAAGUUUAGGUAGUCACUAGCAAAAUAAGCUGCAGCAUGCAACUGGAGGAAGUAAGAAUGACGUUUUUCUGCCACGAUGAGUCACAUAAAGACCUUGACAUUUUUGAAGGUGCCAUUUUGCGCACUAUUUUUGGAUAUGACUUUUAAGUCUUUGGAGACCAGUAUGAAGAAUUUAGUGCCAUCUAGUGGUGAGGUUGUCGAUUGCAUCCAAUUGAUAACCCUCUGCUCACAAAUCCGUUUCCAAGCGUUUCAGAAAAACUACGUUCUUGUAAGGGAAAGUAAAAAUGCAAAAGGCCCUCUCUAGAGUCAGUGUUUAGUUUGUUGAAAACUGGCAGUGUAACAUAUGAAGCACUCAUUCUCAUUCUUCACCAUCAAAAUCAUGGUUAUAAAUACUUAAUAAAUCCCCCCAUAUCCUACACAACACAUUAGGUCUUGCAUUAAAGUCUGUUAACCACACCCAUCCUCGUACCUGCCAGUUCCAGAUAACUUGUUAAAAGUAGUUUUAUCUGCCAACAGUAGGCCUAUUAGACUACUUGGAUAAAAGAGCAUAACUGUGAUGUUGCUUUCAGGUCUGAAGGCCAAAUACUUGAUCAGAUAACAUAGCACCUGUUUUUGGUGUUUAUGCGAGUGCACAGUCAGAUCUGAAAACCCUUUGAUUGCAAAGUAUCCUUGAGACCCUGUUUUUUCUCCUUACAUCUGUGAAUGCAUCACAUCUACUAACAAAUUAAAGUAACACUUGUAUUUCUUUCUUUUUAUGACAAAAUGUUAUGUUGUUAUACUGAGCAAUGUUUUUAUUUUUUUUAGAUAAUGCCAUAAGUAUUUUAUAACGUUUAAAUGUCACUGUAUGUGUGUUAUAGAGCUAUAUAAAAACGAUUUUCUAAUUAAAA